This 840-nucleotide long non-coding RNA is filed under the name Gallus gallus (chicken). The record is from RNAcentral. Lineage: Eukaryota; Metazoa; Chordata; Aves; Galliformes; Phasianidae.
GUACAUAGGAAAAUGGGCAUGUCCUAAAGGUAGUGCUUGAGAAGAAACUCUGUAAAUGGGGAGUAUCAGCAUGAAUUGUAAAUAGACUUUGUGACUUGCAAUCAGCAUUUGUACUACUGAAACUUGUAAGGUAAGGGAGUGUUGUUUCUUUCAUUUUUUAAUGUACAAAUCAAGAUUCUGGUCAUCUUUGACUACGUUUCUCUGGGCAGCACAAAAUCGAGAAAAGUUAUGUAUUCAGAGGAAAAGCCUUGUUCACAAGUCAACAUUAAAAAAAAAGUGGUGUCCCAAAGCAGGCUUUUUACAAAUUUUAAAGCAUAGAUACUAACUUGUGUAGCUAGUACAUUCCCAGGCCUUGAAAAAAUGUUUUAUUUGAUAGUAUUAUAACAGGAACUACAUGAAAAAAGGAAAGUUAAGGGUGAAGAUUUGGGAGAGCUGAAAUACCAAAAAAAACCCAAGUGAAUGCUUAGUUAGGAUUAUUAGUUGUAUCUUUGUGUCCAUGCUUUUAUUGCAUUUCACUUUCUAAACCUUGGUGACUCUUGUCUUUCUGUGUCUCCUUACCCAGAGCUAAGAAAAGAAAGCACAUUGUGGAUCUUGCUUAUGGCUUGUUCAUUUUUUAUUUUUGUUUUGUUUCACAGUGAAGCAUGCUGUUACUUCCUUACUCUUUUGUUUCUUGGUCUGUAUUUCAGAAAGAAGCAGUAUGUUUUCUUUCUGAAAUGAAGAAUUACAAUAGAUUUCAUGUAUGAAACACCUGCACAGUAAGAAAUGAAGCAGAACUUUUCAGCUCUUGCUGUUCCAUGGCGAGAUUUCUGUUGCCUUUCCUUCCUGUAAACAAAGGCAGUC